GACGAACGCUGGCGGCGUGCUUAACACAUGCAAGUCGAACGGAAAGGCCCUGCUUGCAGGGUACUCGAGUGGCGAACGGGUGAGUAACACGUGGGUGAUCUGCCCUGCACUUCGGGAUAAGCCUGGGAAACUGGGUCUAAUACCGGAUAGGAGCCAUUUUUAGUGUGAUGGUUGGAAAGUUUUUUCGGUGUAGGAUGAGCUCGCGGCCUAUCAGCUUGUUGGUGGGGUAAUGGCCUACCAAGGCGGCGACGGGUAGCCGGCCUGAGAGGGUGGACGGCCACAUUGGGACUGAGAGACGGCCCAGACUCCUACGGGAGGCAGAAGGGGGGAAGAUUGCACAAUGGGCGCAAGCCUGAUGCAGAGACGCCGCGUGGGGGAUGACGGCCUUCGGGUUGUAAACUCCUUUCGCUAGGGACGAAGCUUUUUGUGACGGUACCUAGAUAAGAAGCACCGGCUAACUACGUG
RNAcentral lists this ribosomal RNA (465 nucleotides) under uncultured bacterium. Its description in RNAcentral is "partial 16S ribosomal RNA". It matches the Rfam family "Bacterial small subunit ribosomal RNA", at positions 28 to 507 of the family's 1533-position model. The record is from RNAcentral.